RNAcentral lists this ribosomal RNA (1492 nucleotides) under uncultured bacterium. Its description in RNAcentral is "bacterial SSU rRNA". It matches the Rfam family "Bacterial small subunit ribosomal RNA". The record is from RNAcentral.
AGAGUUUGAUCCUGGCUCAGGACGAACGUUGGCGGCGUGCUUAACACAUGCAAGUCGAGCGGUUCUCGUAGUUUACUUCGAGGAUAGCGGCGGACGGGUGAGGUGAGUAACGCGUGGAUAAUCUGCCUGUAAGACAGGGAUAACGCCGGGAAACCGGUGCUAAUACCCGAUAACCUCUUUGGAUCGCAUGGUUUGAAGAGAAAAGGUGGCCUCUUUACAAUGCUACCACUUACAGAUGAAUCCGCGUCCCAUUAGCCAGUUGGUGGGGUAAAGGCCUACCAAAGCGACGAUGGGUAGCCGGCCUGAGAGGGUGACCGGCCACACUGGAACUGAGAUACGGUCCAGACUCCUACGGGAGGCAGCAGUGGGGAAUCUUCCGCAAUGGGCGAAAGCCUGACGGAGCAACGCCGCGUGAGCGAAGAAGGUCUUCGGAUUGUAAAGCUCUGUGAUAUUGGGAAGGAAUGACGGUACAAUAAGAGGAAGCCACGGCUAACUACGUGCCAGCAGCCGCGGUAAUACGUAGGUGGCAAACGUUGUCCGGAAUUACUGGGCGUAAAGGGCGAGUAGGUGGUUUAUUAAGUCAGGUGUGAAGCCCUGGGCUCAACUCGGAGACUGCUCCUGAAACUGGUAGACUUGAGUGCAAGAGAGGGAAGUGGAAUUCCUAGUGUAGCGGUGAAAUGCGUAGAUAUUAGGAGGAACACCAGUGGCGAAGGCGACUUCCUGGCUUGUAACUGACACUGAGGCGCGAAAGCGUGGGGAUCAAACAGGAUUAGAUACCCUGGUAGUCCACGCCGUAAACGAUGAGUGCUAGGUGUCGGCUCUUAAAGGUCGGUGCCGAAGUUAACACAUUAAGCAUUCCACCUGGGGAGUACGUACGCAAGACUGAAACUCAAAGGAAUUGACGGGGGCCCGCACAAGCGGUGGAGUAUGUGGUUUAAUUCGACGCAACGCGAAGAACCUUACCAAGGCUUGACAUCCCUCUGAAUGGCGCUUAGCAGCGCAGGUCUUUCGGGACAGCACGGAGACAGGUGGUGCAUGGUUGUCGUCAGCUCGUGUCGUGAGAUGUUGGGUUAAGUCCCGCAACGAGCGCAACCCUUAUCUUUAGUUACCAUCAUUCAGUUGGGGACUCUAGAGAGACUGUGCCGGUGACAAACCGGAGGAAGGUGGGGAUGACGUCAAAUCAUCAUGCCCCUUAUGUCUUGGGCUACACACGUGCUACAAUGGCCGGUACAAAGGGCAGCAACACAGCGAUGUGAAGCCAAUCCCAUAAAGCCGGUCCCAGUUCGGAUUGUAGGCUGCAACUCGCCCACGUGAAGCCGGAGUUGCUAGUAAUCGCGAAUCAGCAUGUCGCGGUGAAUGCGUUCCCGGGUCUUGUACACACCGCCCGUCACACCAUGGGAGUUGGGAGCGCCCGAAGCCAGUGAGCUAACCGCAAGGAGGCAGCUGUCGAAGGCGAGAUCAAUGACUGGGGUGAAGUCGUAACAAGGUAACC